AUUGAACGCUGGCGGCAGGCCUAACACAUGCAAGUCGAACGAGUGGCGGACGGGUGAGUAAUGUCUGGGAAACUUCCCGAUGGAGGGGGAUAACUACUGGAAACGGUAGCUAAUACCGCAUACCAUCGGCAGUGCCCAGCUGGGAUUAGCUAGUAGGUGGUGUAACGGCGCACCAUGGAGACGAUCCCUAGCUGGUCUGAGAGGAUGACCAGCCAAACUGGAACUGAGACACGGCCCAGACUCCGACGGUAGGCAGCAGUGGGGAAUAUUGCACAAUGGGCGCAAGCCUGAUGAAGCCAUGCCGCGUGUAGGAAGAAGGCCUUCGGGUUGUAAAGUACUUUCAGCGAGGAGGCGUUACUCGCAGAAGAAGCACCGGCUAACUCCGUGCCAGCCGCCGCGGUAAUUC
Molecule: ribosomal RNA, 406 nt
Filed under: uncultured bacterium
Lineage: Bacteria
Description: partial 16S ribosomal RNA
Rfam family: Bacterial small subunit ribosomal RNA
Source: RNAcentral